CUUGAACUUGGCCCUAUGUAGGGCCUCAAUCACAUGCUCCUUGUUUUGCAACUUGGUACGGAUGGACAUGAUGACUUGGCCAAUGUGGACCCUGGCCACUGUGCCCUUGGGCUUUCCAAAGGCACCCCGCAUACCUGACUGGCUCUUAUACAAAUCUC
Prionailurus viverrinus (fishing cat) is the source of this 158-nucleotide long non-coding RNA. RefSeq lists it as uncharacterized. The transcript is spliced from 3 exons. NCBI's taxonomy places the organism in Eukaryota, Metazoa, Chordata, Mammalia, Carnivora, Felidae. The record is from RefSeq and is a predicted model, not a curated record.